GACGAACGCUGGCGGCGCGCCUAACACAUGCAAGUCGAACGAGCGAGAGAGAGCUUGCUUUCUCGAGCGAGUGGCGAACGGGUGAGUAACGCGUGAGGAACCUGCCUCAAAGAGGGGGACAACAGUUGGAAACGACUGCUAAUACCGCAUAAGCCCACGGGUCGGCAUCGACCAGAGGGAAAAGGAGCAAUCCGCUUUGAGAUGGCCUCGCGUCCGAUUAGCUGGUUGGUGAGGUAAUGGCCCACCAAGGCGACGAUCGGUAGCCGGACUGAGAGGUUGAACGGCCACAUUGGGACUGAGACACGGCCCAGACUCCUACGGGAGGCAGCAGUGGGGAAUAUUGCACAAUGGGGGAAACCCUGAUGCAGCGACGCUGCGUGGAGGAAGAAGGUCUUCGGAUUGUAAACUCCUGUUGUUGGGGAAGAUAAUGACGGUACC
Molecule: ribosomal RNA, 438 nt
Filed under: uncultured bacterium
Lineage: Bacteria
Description: bacterial SSU rRNA
Rfam family: Bacterial small subunit ribosomal RNA
Source: RNAcentral